RNAcentral lists this ribosomal RNA (407 nucleotides) under uncultured bacterium. RNAcentral's name for it is "partial 16S ribosomal RNA". It matches the Rfam family "Bacterial small subunit ribosomal RNA", at positions 28 to 526 of the family's 1533-position model. The record is from RNAcentral.
GACGAACGCUGGCGGCGUGCCUAAUACAUGCAAGUAGAACGCAGUUGCGAACGGGUGAGUAACGCGUAGGUAACUGCCUCAUAGCGGGGGAUAACGAUUGGGAACGAUAGCUAAUACCGCAUACUGUGAGCUGGACCUGCGUUGUAUUAGCUAGUUGGUGAGGUAAAGGCUCACCAAGGCGUCGAUACAUAGCCGGCCUGAGAGGGCGAGCGGCAACCCCGGGAAUGGGACACGGGCCAGACCCCUACGGGGGGGAACAGUAGGGGAUCUUCGGACAUGGAGGGAAGUCUGACCGAGCAACGCCGCGUUAGUGAAGAAGGUUUUCGGAUUGUAAAGCUCUGUUGUUAGAGAAGCGGUAACUACCCAGAAAGGAACGGCUAACUACGUGCCAGCAGCCGCGGUAAUAC